UACGUAGGGUGCGAGCGUUAAUCGGAAUUACUGGGCGUAAAGCGUGCGCAGGCGGUUCGUCGUGUCCGAUGUGAAAGCCCCGGGCUCAACCUGGGAAUGGCAUUGGAAACUGGCGGACUCGAGUGUGGCAGAGGGGGGUGGAAUUCCGCGUGUAGCAGUGAAAUGCGUAGAGAUGCGGAGGAACACCGAUGGCGAAGGCAGCCCCCUGGGCUAACACUGACGCUCAAGCACGAAAGCGUGGGGAGCAAACAGG
Molecule: ribosomal RNA, 253 nt
Filed under: uncultured bacterium
Lineage: Bacteria
Description: partial 16S ribosomal RNA
Rfam family: Bacterial small subunit ribosomal RNA
Source: RNAcentral